Molecule: ribosomal RNA, 492 nt
Filed under: uncultured bacterium
Lineage: Bacteria
Description: partial 16S ribosomal RNA
Rfam family: Bacterial small subunit ribosomal RNA
Source: RNAcentral
AGUGAACGCUGGCGGUAGGCCUAACACAUGCAAGUCGAACGGCAGCACAGUAAGAGCUUGCUCUUACGGGUGGCGAGUGGCGGACGGGUGAGGAAUACAUCGGAAUCUACUUUUUCGCGGGGGAUAACGUAGGGAAACUUACGCUAAUACCGCAUACGACCUACGGGUGAAAGCAGGGGAUCUUCGGACCUUGCGCGAUUGAAUGAGCCGAUGUCGGAUUAGCUAGUUGGCGGGGUAAAGGCCCACCAAGGCGACGAUCCGUAGCUGGUCUGAGAGGAUGAUCAGCCACACUGGAACUGAGACACGGUCCAGACUCCUACGGGAGGCAGCAGUGGGGAAUAUUGGACAAUGGGCGCAAGCCUGAUCCAGCCAUACCGCGUGGGUGAAGAAGGCCUUCGGGUUGUAAAGCCCUUUUGUUGGGAAAGAAAAGCAGCAGGUUAAUACCCCGCUGUUCUGACGGUACCCAAAGAAUAAGCACCGGCUAACCUCGUG